This 76-nucleotide transfer RNA is filed under the name Meiothermus granaticius NBRC 107808. RNAcentral's name for it is "tRNA-Gly". It matches the Rfam family "tRNA". Rfam says of the family: Transfer RNA (tRNA) molecules are approximately 80 nucleotides in length. Their secondary structure includes four short double-helical elements and three loops (D, anti-codon, and T loops). Lineage: Bacteria; Thermotogati; Deinococcota; Deinococci; Thermales; Thermaceae. The record is from RNAcentral. RNAcentral also lists the same sequence under 4 other names.
GCGGGAAUAGCUCAGUCGGUAGAGCAUCUGCUUCCCAAGCAGAGGGUCGCGAGUUCGAGUCUCGUUUCCCGCUCCA